This 253-nucleotide ribosomal RNA is filed under the name uncultured bacterium. RNAcentral describes it as "partial 16S ribosomal RNA". It matches the Rfam family "Bacterial small subunit ribosomal RNA", at positions 524 to 776 of the family's 1533-position model. The record is from RNAcentral.
UACAGAGGGGGCAAGCGUUGUUCGGAAUUACUGGGCGUAAAGGGCGCGUAGGCGGCCCGCUAAGUCGAACGUGAAAUCCCCGGGCUCAACCCGGGAACUGCGUCCGAUACUGGAAGGCUUGAAUCCGGGAGAGGGAUGUGGAAUUCCAGGUGUAGCGGUGAAAUGCGUAGAUAUCUGGAGGAACACCGGUGGCGAAGGCGGCAUCCUGGACCGACACUGACGCUGAGGAGCGAAAGCCAGGGGAGCAAACGGG